Molecule: ribosomal RNA, 2904 nt
Filed under: Enterobacter roggenkampii
Lineage: Bacteria; Pseudomonadati; Pseudomonadota; Gammaproteobacteria; Enterobacterales; Enterobacteriaceae
Description: 23S ribosomal RNA
Rfam family: Bacterial large subunit ribosomal RNA
Source: RNAcentral
GGUUAAGCGACUAAGCGUACACGGUGGAUGCCCUGGCAGUCAGAGGCGAUGAAGGACGUGCUAAUCUGCGAAAAGCGCCGGCGAGGUGAUAUGAACCUUUGACCCGGCGAUGUCCGAAUGGGGAAACCCAGUGUGUUCCGACACACUAUCGUUAACUGAAUACAUAGGUUAACGAGGCGAACCGGGGGAACUGAAACAUCUAAGUACCCCGAGGAAAAGAAAUCAACCGAGAUUCCCCCAGUAGCGGCGAGCGAACGGGGAGCAGCCCAGAGUCUGAAUCAGCUUGUGUGUUAGUGGAAGCGUCUGGAAAGUCGCACGGUACAGGGUGACAGUCCCGUACACGAAAAUGCACAGGUUGUGAACUCGAAGAGUAGGGCGGGACACGUGGUAUCCUGUCUGAAUAUGGGGGGACCAUCCUCCAAGGCUAAAUACUCCUGACUGACCGAUAGUGAACCAGUACCGUGAGGGAAAGGCGAAAAGAACCCCGGCGAGGGGAGUGAAAUAGAACCUGAAACCGUGUACGUACAAGCAGUGGGAGCACCUUCGUGGUGUGACUGCGUACCUUUUGUAUAAUGGGUCAGCGACUUAUAUUCUGUAGCAAGGUUAACCGUAUAGGGGAGCCGAAGGGAAACCGAGUCUUAACUGGGCGUUAAGUUGCAGGGUAUAGACCCGAAACCCGGUGAUCUAGCCAUGGGCAGGUUGAAGGUUGGGUAACACUAACUGGAGGACCGAACCGACUAAUGUUGAAAAAUUAGCGGAUGACUUGUGGCUGGGGGUGAAAGGCCAAUCAAACCGGGAGAUAGCUGGUUCUCCCCGAAAGCUAUUUAGGUAGCGCCUCGUGAACUCAUCUUCGGGGGUAGAGCACUGUUUCGGCUAGGGGGCCAUCCCGGCUUACCAACCCGAUGCAAACUACGAAUACCGAAGAAUGUUAUCACGGGAGACACACGGCGGGUGCUAACGUCCGUCGUGAAGAGGGAAACAACCCAGACCGCCAGCUAAGGUCCCAAAGUCAUGGUUAAGUGGGAAACGAUGUGGGAAGGCACAGACAGCCAGGAUGUUGGCUUAGAAGCAGCCAUCAUUUAAAGAAAGCGUAAUAGCUCACUGGUCGAGUCGGCCUGCGCGGAAGAUGUAACGGGGCUAAACCAUGCACCGAAGCUGCGGCAGCGACACUAUGUGUUGUUGGGUAGGGGAGCGUUCUGUAAGCCGUUGAAGGUGUGCUGUGAGGCAUGCUGGAGGUAUCAGAAGUGCGAAUGCUGACAUAAGUAACGAUAAAGCGGGUGAAAAGCCCGCUCGCCGGAAGACCAAGGGUUCCUGUCCAACGUUAAUCGGGGCAGGGUGAGUCGACCCCUAAGGCGAGGCCGAAAGGCGUAGUCGAUGGGAAACAGGUUAAUAUUCCUGUACUUGGUGUUACUGCGAAGGGGGGACGGAGAAGGCUAUGUUAGCCGGGCGACGGUUGUCCCGGUUUAAGCAUGUAGGCGGAACGAUUAGGUAAAUCCGGUCGUUUUUAACGCUGAGGUGUGAUGACGAGGCACUACGGUGCUGAAGUAACAAAUGCCCUGCUUCCAGGAAAAGCCUCUAAGCAUCAGGUAACAUCAAAUCGUACCCCAAACCGACACAGGUGGUCAGGUAGAGAAUACCAAGGCGCUUGAGAGAACUCGGGUGAAGGAACUAGGCAAAAUGGUGCCGUAACUUCGGGAGAAGGCACGCUGAUAUGUAGGUGAAGCCCCUGCGGGUGGAGCUGAAAUCAGUCGAAGAUACCAGCUGGCUGCAACUGUUUAUUAAAAACACAGCACUGUGCAAACACGAAAGUGGACGUAUACGGUGUGACGCCUGCCCGGUGCCGGAAGGUUAAUUGAUGGGGUUAGCGGCAACGCGAAGCUCUUGAUCGAAGCCCCGGUAAACGGCGGCCGUAACUAUAACGGUCCUAAGGUAGCGAAAUUCCUUGUCGGGUAAGUUCCGACCUGCACGAAUGGCGUAAUGAUGGCCAGGCUGUCUCCACCCGAGACUCAGUGAAAUUGAACUCGCUGUGAAGAUGCAGUGUACCCGCGGCAAGACGGAAAGACCCCGUGAACCUUUACUAUAGCUUGACACUGAACACUGGUCCUUGAUGUGUAGGAUAGGUGGGAGGCUUUGAAGCGUGGACGCCAGUCUGCGUGGAGCCGUCCUUGAAAUACCACCCUUUAAUGGCUGGUGUUCUAACGUAGACCCGUGAUCCGGGUUGCGGACAGUGUCUGGUGGGUAGUUUGACUGGGGCGGUCUCCUCCCAAAGAGUAACGGAGGAGCACGAAGGUUAGCUAAUCCUGGUCGGACAUCAGGAGGUUAGUGCAAUGGCAUAAGCUAGCUUGACUGCGAGAGUGACGGCUCGAGCAGGUGCGAAAGCAGGUCAUAGUGAUCCGGUGGUUCUGAAUGGAAGGGCCAUCGCUCAACGGAUAAAAGGUACUCCGGGGAUAACAGGCUGAUACCGCCCAAGAGUUCAUAUCGACGGCGGUGUUUGGCACCUCGAUGUCGGCUCAUCACAUCCUGGGGCUGAAGUAGGUCCCAAGGGUAUGGCUGUUCGCCAUUUAAAGUGGUACGCGAGCUGGGUUUAGAACGUCGUGAGACAGUUCGGUCCCUAUCUGCCGUGGGCGCUGGAGAAUUGAGGGGGGCUGCUCCUAGUACGAGAGGACCGGAGUGGACGCAUCACUGGUGUUCGGGUUGUCAUGCCAAUGGCACUGCCCGGUAGCUAAAUGCGGAAAAGAUAAGUGCUGAAAGCAUCUAAGCACGAAACUUGCCCCGAGAUGAGUUCUCCCUGAGACUUUAAGUCUCCUGAAGGAACGUUGAAGACGACGACGUUGAUAGGUCGGGUGUGUAAGCGCAGCGAUGCGUUGAGCUAACCGAUACUAAUGAACCGUGAGGCUUAACCUU